CAGAGAGAUCUGACGUACUGAUGAUAGCACGCUAUUCGUGCAGCAGCGCGUAUACGGGAGUGCAGCGUAUCGGAAUUAUUGGGCGUAAAGCGUCCGCAGCACCUUCAAGUCUGCUGUUAAAAAGUGGAGCUUAACUCCAUCAUGGCAGUGGAAACUGUUGGGCUGAGUGUGGUAGGGGCAGAGGGAAUUCCCGGUGUAGCGGUGAAAUGCGUAGAUAUCGGGAAGAACACCAGUGGCGAAGGCGCUCUGCUGGGCCAUCACUGACGCUCAUGGACGAAAGCCAGGGGAGCGAAAGGGAUUAGAUACCCCUGUAGUCCUGGCCGUAAACGAUGAACACUAGGUGUCGGGGGAAUCGACCCCCUCGGUGUCGUAGCCAACGCGUUAAGUGUUCCGCCUGGGGAGUACGCACGCAAGUGUGAAACUCAAAGGAAUUGACGGGGGCCCGCACAAGCGGUGGAGUAUGUGGUUUAAUUCGAUGCAACGCGAAGAACCUUACCAGGGUUUGACAUCCUGCGAAUCUCUUGGAAACGAGAGAGUGCCUUCGGGAACGCAGUGACAGGUGGUGCAUGGCUGUCGUCAGCUCGUGUCGUGAGAUGUUGGGUUAAGUCCCGCAACGAGCGCAACCCACGUCUUUAGUUGCCAGCAUUUAGUUGGGCACUCUAGAGAGACCGCCGGUGAUAAACCGGAGGAAGGUGUGGAUGACGUCAAGUCAUCAUGCCCCUUACAUCCUGGGCUACACACGUACUACAAUGCUACGGACAAAGGGCAGCAAGUUCGCGAGGACAAGCAAAUCCCAUAAACCGUGGCUCAGUUCAGAUCGUAGGCUGCAACUCGCCUACGUGAAGGAGGAAUCGCUAGUAAUCGCAGGUCAGCAUACUGCGGUGAAUACGUUCCCGGGCCUUGUACACACCGCCCGUCACACCAUGGAAGUUGGCCACGCCCGAAGCCGUUACUCCAACCCUCG
Molecule: ribosomal RNA, 964 nt
Filed under: uncultured bacterium
Lineage: Bacteria
Description: bacterial SSU rRNA
Rfam family: Bacterial small subunit ribosomal RNA
Source: RNAcentral